Cavia porcellus (domestic guinea pig) is the source of this 205-nucleotide regulatory RNA element. It matches the Rfam family "Mason-Pfizer monkey virus packaging signal". Rfam says of the family: The packaging signal is located in the 5' UTR and is required for specific RNA encapsidation. The record is from Rfam. NCBI's taxonomy places the organism in Eukaryota, Metazoa, Chordata, Mammalia, Rodentia, Caviidae.
UGGAGCCCAAUGUGGGGCCUGAGAAUGGGGGAAUUAAUGAGGGAUGCAGUUCGUGGGCCCAAAGUAGAAAAAGGAAAAAGAAAAUAGAGGACCAAAGUGGGAGCCUGCCAUGCUGCUGAACCUCGGUAAGUGAACAGUGAUUAUGGGACAAGAAAUUGGCCAGCAUGAGACUUUUGUUGAAAGUUUAGAAAAGCUUUAAAGACAC